RNAcentral lists this long non-coding RNA (1019 nucleotides) under Anser brachyrhynchus (Pink-footed goose). RNAcentral's name for it is "lncRNA (ENSABRG00000010858.1)". Lineage: Eukaryota; Metazoa; Chordata; Aves; Anseriformes; Anatidae. The record is from RNAcentral.
GGAGACGUGCUUGCCUGAUGAUCUGCAGAAAACAAGUGGUGACAAAGAGUGAGGAUGCAACAACCCUAAUCCCCAAUUCACCCAUCACCUGCUGGCGAGCUGCAUGCAGGAAGACUGCUGGGCUUCCUGAGAGAAGUGUCCUGGUUUUAGCUAGGACAGAGUUAAUUUUCCUCCUAGUAGUUGGCAGGGUGCUAUGUUUUGGAUUUAGGAUGAGAAGAGCGCUGAUAACACGCUGAUGUUUUAAUUGUUGCAGAGCAGUGCUUACACCAGGCCAAGGACUUUUCAGCUCCUCGCUCUGUCCUGCCAGCGAGCAGGCUGGGGGUGCAGCAGGAGCUGGGAGGGGACAGACCCAGGACAGCUGACCCAAACUGGCCAAAGGGGUAUUCCAUACCACCUGACGUCAUGCUAAACAAUAUAUAGGGGUGGCUGGCCGGGGUGGGGGGCCGGCUGCUCGGGGAUAGGCUGGGCAUCGGUCAACGGGUGGUGAGCAAUUGCAUUGUGCAUCACUUGUUUCGUACACAUUAUUAUUAUUACUAUACAUAUUAUUAUCUUAUUUUCUGUCCUAAUAAACUGUCUCUAUCUCAACCCACAGGCUUCAGUUUUCUCAUUUCUCUCCCCCAUCCCAGAAAGGGAGGGGGGAGGGUGAGCGAACGGCUGUGUGGUGUGUAGCUGCCGGCCAGGUUAAACCACAACAAGAAGUAACGUUUGUCUUGAAACAAAAAAGGAGAUCCCAGCCCCAUGAGCUGCACAAGAGAGGACUGUGUUGCCAUAGCCCCUGGAGUUACCUGCACGUGGAACCAGUGAAUCUCCAUCAGCUGGAAGAUACAGCAGGAGAGGAGAGGAACUGCAUUAAAGUCUGUCAGGCCGGGACAUCAUGGUGGACUCAGGCUGGAAAAUCGUGUAAUCUCAAGAGCAGUAUUUCUGAAAGGGCGUCUUACAUAAAACUGAAUUUUGCAUGUGAGUUACCUAUAUACUUUGGUAAGUGUUUUAGAGCAAUUAGAAAAAAUGGCAUAUGGUAA